RNAcentral lists this long non-coding RNA (720 nucleotides) under Rattus norvegicus (Norway rat). RNAcentral's name for it is "long non-coding RNA NONRATT009464". The record is from RNAcentral. Lineage: Eukaryota; Metazoa; Chordata; Mammalia; Rodentia; Muridae.
CACUGACCCUGCCAUCAACCACACUGUUGGGUUUCAGGUCUCAGAGCGACCUUGUAUCUACUUAGACAAUAAUAUACACAGGGUAAGGCUAGAAGGCCAGGGCUCUUGGCACAAUGAGGUCGGGGAUCUAUAAGGCUGUUGGCUAGGAUAUCCGGUUGGCUGUACAGCCUAAGUGAGUGGAAUUGAGGCCUGGCUAUGAAUUACUUCUGGAGGGGUGGGGAGGCAGUGGUCAUCCCUUUUGUAGAUAUUUUUUUUCUUGUACGGAUUGACAUGGCCUUUCCUUGUCUUUGAUGGUUAAAUUCCGAUAUUUGUUAUUAAAUGCAGUAUUCAAGUAUUAUUAACUCACAUGACUUCCCAUGCAGCCACACCCCCUCCCGCCAUUCAGCACAUCAGAGCCUUUCAGGAAGUGUAGGGUACAAACGCAUUCCCUCACACAUAGUCUUCAUGGGAGCGUGUCAUGGUGGAAAGGUUGCUAAAUGGAACACGCUGACACAUUUUUUCCCCCGUACAAGAAACGUCACCUUGCUUUCCCGUAACCCCAGCAAAACGUGGAACUUUUAGGACUUUGUCUGUUUGCCCUCUGGGUGUUUUGUCAGGUCAUAGCGACACGAGAUCACCUCAGACUAUUGCCUCAUCGUCCGGACAAAUAUUAACUGGGUUAAUUAUUUUUGGUUACCGUGUUGGCCAUACAACCCUGCGUAAAUAAACAAGCUUUGCUUU